Long non-coding RNA from Halichondria panicea, 2578 nucleotides. RefSeq lists it as uncharacterized. NCBI's taxonomy places the organism in Eukaryota, Metazoa, Porifera, Demospongiae, Suberitida, Halichondriidae. The transcript has 2 exons. The record is from RefSeq and is a predicted model, not a curated record.
UGCUCCUGUUGCCAUGGUAAUAGUGCUUGUGCGCUGCCGUGGUAACGGCAUGUACAUGUAGCUUCUUGGAAGAUAAUUAGUGUGUGUGCGGCACAGAUGAAAGAAACGUCUUCCUUUAAUCUAUGGUAGUAGCUAGCAACCUAACUGACUUACUACAUAUCUAUGUAUGCUAAAAAAGCCGUUUAAUUGCAACUGCAUGCAGUUCUUAAAGACUCGUUACAUAACCAGCAUGUGUGCACAGGAUGAGCUUAUAUGACAAAGGUGUAUCUACGUUCCUAGGUUGGUUAAAUUGUUAAUUGCCUGAGGCAUAAAAAACAUGCCCAAACUUUAUCCAGUUAGCGGAAAUUAUAGGCGAUAACAAGGUUUUCUACAUUCGGGGCUUGCCAUAAACGGUAAUUGGAAUUCAACAUUACUUCGUAUGACGUUCACAUUGUGCUGUCAGGCUUGCUUAGUUAGUGCACUUCUAUAAUUGUUAAGAGGCGAAAUCAACGUUCGUAAUUUCGUAUGGUAUUUUUUGUGUGUGUUGUGUGUGUUCGCUUAAAUAGAGAAUAGACACAGUUUCUAAGGCCGUAUACAUCUUUAGGAAAAAACAUUUUAAGCGAGUGUCUUAGUAGUUUGUAUUGAUCCAUAGCCACACACCCCUGGAAGAUAUUGUAUAGCGUGUAGAAAAAUAUUCGUUGUUUAGUCAGUUAAAGGUAGUCAAGGUUGCUGAGUAAAAUAUUCGUGCUCAGUGAUCAUUCAACCACGAAAACCACGAAUAUUUUGCCCCCCUCCUGAAGUUACCCGCUAUAUUAUGUCUGGUCACACGGUCCUGCUGUUUAUUGCAUAUCCUGCUGUGUCUAGGGGGUUAAACUGUUGAUAUAUAAACUUUCCGAGCUAAUGCAAUGUCAAUGGCUUGUAUAAUAUUAACACAUACUAUGUUGCAUGUCAGCUUUUUGCUGUAAAGAAGAACCAUGGGCUGUAAUUAUGUCUACUGGAUAUGAGGUUUAGUCAAAUAUUUACUUCUGUUAUCACUAACAAAGAGGUAUGCAACGUGUACUACAAAUGUCAAGUGUUUCUGUUAUGUAAUUCUAAUGUUUUCGACCACAUCAAAGAGAAGCAUCUACUCAAGCGUUGCGUGCCCUAGCCAUCUCUAUUAUCUGUAAUGGCGAGUAUGUAAAUAAAGAGUGCUUCUGGCCCACAAGCGUUUCGUCACAUUGAAAUUCCACCACUUAGUUUUAACAGGAAGUGGCUACAUUUGUAACAUUUUUCAAUGUUUAGACCACGCCUUUCACAGGAAAAAAGUCAUGCUUUUUCAAGCCACGUGUACGCAUAGGGGGCUUUCCAAACACUCUCAGAAGUCACAUGGGAAGGAAGUGCAAUUCAAGGGCUCUCUUUCAGUGCAAAAAACAAACAAAUUGUCCUAACCACAGCCAUGUUAUAGCUCGUACAGCUACACAACUCUCUUAUCAGCCCGCUUACUAACCCCAAAGAACUUGCUGUAUCUCCAGUGCAACAAUUUUUUAGUGAAAAACACAAGAACAGUCGUUCACAGAUCCAUAUUUUAGUCCACGGUAUAUAUCUGGAGCUGGAGGUCUGCCUUCAACUUCGUGGCCAAACUUUGUUGAGGAGAUAUCGUCGCUCGUAUGGGUUUCUUGUCUUCAGUUAAAGAGUGAGUCAAGCAAUGCCUUUCGUCGCUCUUUGCCAGUGUGCCUAAUUUCACUAGCGACGUGACAUGGUUACCACCACUCAGCAUCAACCGGUGAGAAGCUGUUUGUUUCUACGGCGAAUUGUGGAGGUAUUCCACUCGGAACACGAGGUGUGCUGAUGGGUACUGAACGAUUGGCUGUCAGGAUAGUUCUUACUUACAUGUCCUCCUGUUUUCACUUGUAGGGUUGGAGACACACUGCUCUGGACAGGCUAAUAAUUUUCUACAAAGCUGUGAGAAAACAGACAAAAACUUUCAGAGAAUCGCAGUUUUGUAGCUUCCUCUCUAGAGGUGUUAGCGGAGACUGUGACUUGUGUAUAGGAUGUCGUUACAGCAGUACACUCACUAAGGACAUGAGGAUCGAGGAUCUUUCAUGAACCCUAUUCCUGUGCACAACUUGCAAGUGACCUUGAUGUUUCCGAGAGGCGUUAAAUGAUGUCAGGGGGACGUACGUACGUGUUGCAGUUGUCGGCUAGGUGGUCCCGAUAGCAGCAUGGACACGACAACAACUUGGACUGCCUCAACUACUCACAGCAGUAUGCUGCACAGAAGUACGACAAACUGUCAACUCAAUAGGUUGCUGAAGCACUGUCACUAAAAUUAAUUAUCAUCGAUUCUUAUUGGCUAUGGUCUUUAUAGCUGUUGAUACGAUAUUGUUGGUGUCGAACUGAUCAAACAGCCCCCUAUAUAGCUUAUAAAUAAGUUGCUCAUUCAUUCCUAUGUGUGUAACAAGCAAUUCAAUUCAACCUACUUGUUGUAUAUACUUACAAGCAUUAAUUUUUAUUGUGUGAUUUUGUGUUGAUAAUGCCACAACUUUGAAUGUGAAUAUCUUUUUGUAAAAAAGUUAGCCAUCUACCUGUCUUUGUUAUUGAAGUAGCUCUAUGCUUUUUA